GAUGAACGCUGGCGGCGUGCUUAACACAUGCAAGUCGAACGAAGCACUUUAACCUGAUUCUUCGGAUGAAGGUUUUUGUGACUGAGUGGCGGACGGGUGAGUAACGCGUGGGUAACCUGCCUCAUACAGGGGGAUAACAGUUAGAUAUGACUGCUAAUACCGCAUAAGACCACAGAGCCGCAUGGCUCGGUGGGAAAAACUCCGGUGGUAUGAGAUGGACCCGCGUCUGAUUAGGUAGUUGGUGGGGUAACGGCCUACCAAGCCAACGAUCAGUAGCCGACCUGAGAGGGUGACCGGCCACAUUGGGACUGAGACACGGCCCAAACUCCUACGGGAAGCAGCAGUGGGGAAUAUUGCACAAUGGGGGAAACCCUGAUGCAGCGACGCCGCGUGAGCGAAGAAGUAUUUCGGUAUGUAAAGCUCUAUCAGCAGGGAAGAAAAUGACGGUACCUGACUAAGAAGCACCGGCUAAAUACGUG
RNAcentral lists this ribosomal RNA (479 nucleotides) under uncultured bacterium. RNAcentral describes it as "partial 16S ribosomal RNA". It matches the Rfam family "Bacterial small subunit ribosomal RNA", at positions 28 to 507 of the family's 1533-position model. The record is from RNAcentral.